RNAcentral lists this ribosomal RNA (1447 nucleotides) under Synechococcus sp. MI0607B. Its description in RNAcentral is "bacterial SSU rRNA". It matches the Rfam family "Bacterial small subunit ribosomal RNA". The record is from RNAcentral. Lineage: Bacteria; Bacillati; Cyanobacteriota; Cyanophyceae; Synechococcales; Synechococcaceae.
GUGCCGCUUGCUUAACCCUGCAAGUCGAACGAACCUUCGGGUUAGUGGCGGACGGGUGAGUAACGCGUGAGAAUCUGCCCUCAGGAGGGGGAUAACGGUUGGAAACGACCGCUAAUACCCCAUAUGCCGCGAGGUGAAAUGAAUUUCGCCUGAGGAUGAGCUCGCGUCUGAUUAGCUAGUUGGUGGGGUAAGAGCCUACCAAGGCUUCGAUCAGUAGCUGGUCUGAGAGGAUGAUCAGCCACACUGGGACUGAGACACGGCCCAGACUCCUACGGGAGGCAGCAGUGGGGAAUUUUCCGCAAUGGGCGAAAGCCUGACGGAGCAACGCCGCGUGAGGGAUGAAGGCCUCUGGGCUGUAAACCUCUUUUAUCAAGGAAGAAGAUCUGACGGUACUUGAUGAAUAAGCCACGGCUAAUUCCGUGCCAGCAGCCGCGGUAAUACGGGAGUGGCAAGCGUUAUCCGGAAUUAUUGGGCGUAAAGCGUCCGCAGGCGGUCUUACAAGUCUGUCGUUAAAGCGUGGAGCUUAACUCCAUUUCGGCGAUGGAAACUGUAAGACUAGAGUGUGGUAGGGGCAGAGGGAAUUCCCGGUGUAGCGGUGAAAUGCGUAGAUAUCGGGAAGAACACCAGUGGCGAAGGCGCUCUGCUGGGCCAUAACUGACGCUCAUGGACGAAAGCUAGGGGAGCGAAAGGGAUUAGAUACCCCUGUAGUCCUAGCCGUAAACGAUGAACACUAGGUGUCGGGGGAAUCGACCCCCUCGGUGUCGUAGCCAACGCGUUAAGUGUUCCGCCUGGGGAGUACGCACGCAAGUGUGAAACUCAAAGGAAUUGACGGGGGCCCGCACAAGCGGUGGAGUAUGUGGUUUAAUUCGAUGCAACGCGAAGAACCUUACCAGGGUUUGACAUCCUGCGAAUCCCUUGGAAACUUGGGAGUGCCUUCGGGAGCGCAGUGACAGGUGGUGCAUGGCUGUCGUCAGCUCGUGUCGUGAGAUGUUGGGUUAAGUCCCGCAACGAGCGCAACCCACGUCUUUAGUUGCCAGCAUUUAGUUGGGCACUCUAGAGAGACCGCCGGUGAUAAACCGGAGGAAGGUGUGGAUGACGUCAAGUCAUCAUGCCCCUUACAUCCUGGGCUACACACGUACUACAAUGCUACGGACAAAGGGCAGCAAACUCGCGAGAGCUAGCCAAUCCCAUAAACCGUGGCUCAGUUCAGAUCGUAGGCUGCAACUCGCCUACGUGAAGGAGGAAUCGCUAGUAAUCGCAGGUCAGCAUACUGCGGUGAAUACGUUCCCGGGCCUUGUACACACCGCCCGUCACACCAUGGAAGUUGGCCACGCCCGAAGUCGUUACUCCAACCCUUGUGGAGGAGGAUGCCGAAGGUGGGGCUGAUGACUGGGGUGAAGUCGUAACAAGGUAGCCGUACCGGAAGGUGCGGCUGGAUCACCUCCUA